CACGUAGGGUGCGAGCGUUGUCCGGAAUUAUUGGGCGUAAAGAGCUCGUAGGCGGUGUGUCGCGUCGGCCGUGAAAACCCGCGGCUUAACCGCGGGCCUGCAGUUGAUACGGGCAGGCUAGAGUUCGGUAGGGGAGACUGGAAUUCCUGGUGUAGCGGUGAAAUGCGCAGAUAUCAGGAGGAACACCGGUGGCGAAGGCGGGUCUCUGGGCCGAUACUGACGCUGAGGAGCGAAAGCGUGGGGAGCGAACAGG
This 253-nucleotide ribosomal RNA is filed under the name uncultured bacterium. RNAcentral's name for it is "partial 16S ribosomal RNA". It matches the Rfam family "Bacterial small subunit ribosomal RNA", at positions 524 to 776 of the family's 1533-position model. The record is from RNAcentral.